RNAcentral lists this ribosomal RNA (491 nucleotides) under uncultured Eubacteriales bacterium. RNAcentral's name for it is "uncultured Clostridiales bacterium partial 16S ribosomal RNA". Lineage: Bacteria; Bacillati; Bacillota; Clostridia; Eubacteriales. The record is from RNAcentral.
CACAUAGUUAGCCGGGGCUUCCUCCUUAGGUACAGUCUUUUAUCUUCCCUAACGCAAUAGUUUACAAUCCGAAAACCUUCUUCCUAUACGCGGCGUCACUGCGUCAGAGUUUCCUCCAUUGCGCAAUAUUCCCGACUGCUGCCUCCCGUAGGAGUCUGGGCCGUAUCUCAGUCCCAAUGUGGCCGUUCAACCUCUCAGUCCGGCUACUGAUCGUAGUCUUGGUAGGCCGUUACCCCACCAACUAACUAAUCAGACGUAAGCCCAUCUAUUAGCGGAUUGCUCCUUUCCUAACUGUAUCAUGCGAUACUGUUAGCAUAUGCGGUAUUAGCAAUGAUUUCUCACUGUUAUUCCCCUCUAAUAGGCAGGUUGCUUACGUGUUACUCACCAGUCCGCCACUAACCGCUCUCAAACUAAAACGAAUGAGUUAAGUCCGUUCGACUUGCAUGUCUUAUGUGCGCCGCCAGCGUUAUCCUGAGCCAGGAUCGAAACUC